This 164-nucleotide ribosomal RNA is filed under the name uncultured bacterium. RNAcentral describes it as "partial 16S rRNA". It matches the Rfam family "Bacterial small subunit ribosomal RNA", at positions 355 to 511 of the family's 1533-position model. The record is from RNAcentral.
UAGGGAAUCUUCCACAAUGGACGAAAGUCUGAUGGAGCAACGCCGCGUGAGUGAAGAAGGUCUUCGGAUCGUAAAGCUCUGUUGUUGGUGAAGAAGGAUAGAGGCAGUAACUGGUCUUUAUUCGACGGUAAUCAACCAGAAAGUCACGGCUAACUACGUGUCAG